AGUGAACGCUGGCGGUAGGCCUAACACAUGCAAGUCGAACGGCAGCACAGUAAAAGCUUGCUCUUACGGGUGGCGAGUGGCGGACGGGUGAGUAAUACAUCGGAAUCUACUUUUUCGUGGGGGAUAACGUAGGGAAACUUACGCUAAUACCGCAUACGACCUACGGUUGAAAGCAGUGGAUCUUCGGACCUUGCGCGAUUGAAUUAGCCGAUGUCGGAUUAGCUAGUUGGCGGGGUAAAGGCCCACCAAGGCGACGAUCCGUAGCUGGUCUGAGAGGAUGAUCAGCCACACUGGAACUGAGACACGGUCCAGACUCCUACGGGAGGCAGCAGUGGGGAAUAUUGGACAAUGGGCGCAAGCCUGAUCCAGCCAUACCGCGUGGGUGAAGAAGGCCUUCGGGUUGUAAAGCCCUUUUGUUGGGAAAGAAAAGCAGCAGGUUAAUACCCCGCUGUUCUGACGGUACCCAAAGAAUAAGCACCGGCUAACUUCGUG
Molecule: ribosomal RNA, 492 nt
Filed under: uncultured bacterium
Lineage: Bacteria
Description: partial 16S ribosomal RNA
Rfam family: Bacterial small subunit ribosomal RNA
Source: RNAcentral